Molecule: ribosomal RNA, 433 nt
Filed under: uncultured bacterium
Lineage: Bacteria
Description: partial 16S ribosomal RNA
Rfam family: Bacterial small subunit ribosomal RNA
Source: RNAcentral
AACGAACGCUGGCGGCAUGCCUAACACAUGCAAGUCGAACGAGACCUUCGGGUCUAGUGGCGCACGGGUGCGUAACGCGUGGGAACCUGCCCUUAGGUUCGGAAUAACUCCCCGAAAGGGGUGCUAAUACCGGAUAAUGUCUUCGGACCAAAGAUUUAUCGCCUUUGGAUGGGCCCGCGUUGGAUUAGCUAGUUGGUAGGGUAAAAGCCUACCAAGGCGACGAUCCAUAGCUGGUCUGAGAGGAUGAUCAGCCACACUGGGACUGAGACACGGCCCAGAAUCCUACGGGAGGCAGCAGUGGGGAAUAUUGGACAAUGGGCGAAAGCCUGAUACAGCAAUGCCGCGUGAGUGAUGAAGGCCUUAGGGUUGUAAAGCUCUUUUACCCGGGAUGAUAAUGACAGUACCGGGAGAAUAAGCUCCGGCUAACUCCGUG